ACGGAAGGCAGCAGCUAAGAAUAUUCGGCAAUGGAGGAAAGUCUGACGGAGCGACGCCGCGUGGAUGAUGAAGGCCGGAAGGUUGUAAAAUCCUUUUAUAACUGAGGAAUAAGCAUUAUCAGGGAAAGGUAGUGCGGGGACUGUAGGUUAUGAAUAAGCAACGGCUAAUUACGUGCCAGCAGCCGGGGUAACACGUAAGUUGCGAGCGUGGUUCGGAAUUAUUGGGCGUAAAGGGCAUGUAGGCGGUUUUGCAAGCUUGGUGUGAAAGGCAGGAGCUUAACUCCUGGACUGCGUUGAGAACUGCAAGACUUGAGUCACUGAGGGGCAAUCAGAAUUCCUGGUGUAGGGGUGAAAUCUGUAGAUAUCAGGAAGAAUACCAAUGGCGAAGGCAGGUUACCAGCAGAUGACUGACGCUGAGGUGCGAAGGUGCGGGGAGCAAACAGGAUUAGAUACCCUGGUA
Molecule: ribosomal RNA, 460 nt
Filed under: uncultured Treponema sp.
Lineage: Bacteria; Pseudomonadati; Spirochaetota; Spirochaetia; Treponematales; Treponemataceae
Description: partial 16S ribosomal RNA
Rfam family: Bacterial small subunit ribosomal RNA
Source: RNAcentral